Long non-coding RNA from Trifolium pratense (red clover), 448 nucleotides. RefSeq lists it as uncharacterized. The record is from RefSeq and is a predicted model, not a curated record. Lineage: Eukaryota; Viridiplantae; Streptophyta; Magnoliopsida; Fabales; Fabaceae. The transcript has 2 exons.
CUUAUAAAUUGUAGAGUGAUAAAAUAAAAUUUCAUCUGAUACAUUCAAAGAGUGGAAAAUAUGGAUAAAAUUUUCAAGUUUGUUUAUGUCAUGAUAAUCCUUCUUUCCCUAGUUUUUGUUUCAACGCAUGCUAUAAAACUUACAUUUGUCCAUCCUUGUAAAACUGAUCGUGAUUGUCCACAAACUCCCAAGGGGCGCUUUUCACGUCCUAAAAAAGUGAAGUGUCGUAAUGGCAUUUGUAUGUAAAGCUAUAUGAUUGCCACACCCAAAAGAAUUAAAAAAAAAUCACACUACUAGAAUAUUCUACAAUUUCUUAUUUAGUUAUUGUCAUCAUCUAUCAAAUGAGUUUUCUUUUACCUUUUCUUAUUUCACAUACCUUGUUAGUUUUCUAUAAUGCAAGUGAAAUGACAUAGACCAUGAAAAAUAUUAUCUACAUUUUCUUCUUCUA